Long non-coding RNA from Enhydra lutris kenyoni (northern sea otter), 1631 nucleotides. RefSeq lists it as uncharacterized. Lineage: Eukaryota; Metazoa; Chordata; Mammalia; Carnivora; Mustelidae. The record is from RefSeq and is a predicted model, not a curated record. The transcript has 4 exons.
CACACCUCCUCCGUCACAAGGAAAGGGGCGAGGACUGUCUCUCAGCAGAUUUAGCUGGGGAGGCGAGGGGCAGAAGCCAGGAUUUGGCUACGGACGCCGAGCUCCAGCUCACAAGGGGCUCAAGGGGGCCCAUGACGCCCAGGGCACGCUCUCCAAAAUCUUCAAGCUGGGAGGAAGAGACAGUCGUUCCGGAUCCCCCAUGGCGAGACGCUGAAGCCCUCCCCUGGGGUCCCCGAAUCCUGUCCUCAGCUUCUUAAUACAACUACCUUACGAAUUUAAUACCGUCCACAUCCGCUCCCCACGUGUAGCAAACACCCUGCCUAAUGCCCGUUGAGCUGCGCACACGGUGGGCCAGGCACUCCGCGCCCUGCGGUUCUGGCCAUCAGCCGAGCGGAGGAGACGCAGACAGACGGUCAGCGGUGACUUUGUGUCCGAAGAGAGCGCGUGCCCGGAGCCCCCUCCGCCCAGCGUGGCCUGGACGCUGGCGGCGCCGGGGCACGGACGCACCUCCGAGCUCACCCUCCUCCCUCGGACUGGCUUUGCUGACUCAGCUUCCCCAGGCUUCGCAGGUGCUGCCGUGCGACGCCACUGUGGACACAGGGAUGCGUGCGGGGCGGUGAGGACUGCUGAUCCGAGCUUCCUUUGUUUCCUUUGGUUUCUCUCCCCGCCCCCGGCUCACCUCCUAACACACACUCACUCUCCCUCCAGGAUGAGCAGUCAGGAGCGGCACAGGGGCUUUCAGUACGUGCAGUGCGGGCGGGUAGCUGGGAGAGUCCCAUGUGGUGGGCGCGGAGGGCGCCCGUAGGCGGCGGCUCCCCACCACACCCGGUUGGCGGGUCUCAGGCGCGGUUGCGAGGGGACAAGGAGGCAGAGCUGGGCUGGGCCACGGCCCCAACGGGAAACAGGAUCUUCUUGGAAAUUAGGUGAUGGCACGGCGGGAGCCAGAGCGGCUUCUACGAACAGCCUGUUUCCCCCCGAGCCCAGCAGGAGAGUCCAGGGAGACGCUUGUCUCAGAGUGGGACUGGAGAAGUUUUCCGGGUGGCCUUGUGGCGUCACCCUGGUCACUGUGGGAGGUGACCGGCGGUGCUCCUCACGGCAGUGCGCACGGCAGAUACUAACCCUCGGUGGACAGAUAACCUCCGUCAGCUGGCAUCCCGACACGGACGCGCGUGGCCACGGGCUUCGGAGGGCCCGCGUCCCAAGUGGCGGGGCCGGACGUCGUGGGGCCCGGGCCUGGCUGGCCCUGCGAGCAGAGACGGGGGCUCCUCUAAAUUGUGUCUUUUCUAACUCGAGCUCACCUUUCCUGUGCUCCCCUCAUAACACACUGACCCACCGUUUGAUUUUAGCUACGUCUUAGAGGCCUUCCAAGGAGCCACACCGGCGUCAUCCUCCCUUAGAACGAAGAUGAGGAGUAGUCAGCACACCAACGUAACCCCGUCCUAAUUCCGAUGCCCGGUGUGGGCGUAAUGUAAUGUCUAUUAACCCAUAGCCUCAGUGAUGAGAGGGUUACGGGGGAACAAGGAACAAAAUUUCAGAAAUGAAACCUCCACAUUUCAUGACACACACACACACACGCUCUACGUCUUCGAGCUGACUGUCGGCCGAGGGAUCUUUGUGUGCGGCCACCCCAG